GAUGAAGAACGUAGCGAAAUGCGAUACGUAAUGUGAAUUGCAGAAUUCAGUGAAUCAUCGAAUCUUUGAACGCAUAUUGCGCUCUCUGGUAUUCCGGAGAGCAUGCUUGUUUGAGUAUCAGUAAACACCUCAACUCUUUUUUCUUUUUUGAAAUUGGAGCUGGACUUGAGUGAUCCCAACGCUUUCUUCCAAGAAAGUGGCGGGUUGCUUGAAAUGCAGGUGCAGCUGAACUUUUCUCUGAGCUAUAAGCAUAUCUAUUUAGUCUGCCUAAAAAACAGAUUAUUACCUUUGCUGCAGCUAACAUAAAGGAGACUAGUUCUUGUGCUGACUGAUGCAGGAUUCACAGAGACAGCUUCGGCUGACUUUGUAAACUCGAUCUCAAAUCAAGUAAGACUACCCGCUGAACUUAAGCAUAUCAAUAAGCGGAGGA
This 430-nucleotide unclassified non-coding RNA is filed under the name soil metagenome. RNAcentral describes it as "partial contains 5.8S ribosomal RNA, internal transcribed spacer 2, and large subunit ribosomal RNA". The stretch from base 1 to 120 matches the Rfam family "5.8S ribosomal RNA", at positions 35 to 154 of the family's 154-position model. The record is from RNAcentral.